CCACGUUCAGAUUGCAGUCUGCAACUCGACUGCAUGAAGUCGGAAUCGCUAGUAAUCGCGGAUCAGCAUGCCGCGGUGAAUACGUUCCCGGGCCUUGUACACACCGCCCGUCACACCAUGAGAGUCGGGAACACCCGAAGUCCGUAGCCUAACCGCAAGGGGGGCGCGGCCGAAGGUGGGUUCGAUAAUUGGGGUGAAGUCGUAACAAGGUAUC
Molecule: ribosomal RNA, 214 nt
Filed under: uncultured bacterium
Lineage: Bacteria
Description: partial 16S ribosomal RNA
Rfam family: Bacterial small subunit ribosomal RNA
Source: RNAcentral